Molecule: long non-coding RNA, 1040 nt
Organism: Monodelphis domestica (gray short-tailed opossum)
Lineage: Eukaryota; Metazoa; Chordata; Mammalia; Didelphimorphia; Didelphidae
Source: RefSeq, a predicted model, not a curated record
GUGAGGUAAUGAGGGCCUGCACUAUAGUGGUUAGCAGUGUCAGAGUAGAGAUGGAGAUGUAUUUGAGAGAUGUCACAAAGGAAAGAUUGACAGGUCUUGCCAGCAGCAUGGACAUGAGGUAGAGGGAAGGAGUUGGUAAUGGUGAGGAAUCCAGAAAGAUUCCUAGCAUGCAAGUCUAAGAGACUGGGAGAAUAAUGCCCUCUACAGAAAUAGGGAAGAGAUGUAAAAGAAAAUUUCUACCAAUGAAGACAAAGUGAAAUAAGCAGAACCAAGAAACAAUCUACAUGAGCCUAACAAUGUAAAUAUAAAGAUCACAAAAGCAAAAGCACUUGUAACCAAGUACAGAGAACAGUUAUAAUCACUAACAUUGGCCUCAAAGAAGUGAAGCAAAAAGAAACUGCCCCACUUUCUUUGUAGAGAGACCACAAGAAGAGCCUGACAGAGCAGAAGCCAAGACGAACACCAUGAAUCCAUGUUGUAUCCCCAGUUAAGAGCCACAAACUAUGAAAUUCCAAGUGGAUUUUACUUAAAGAUAGGCAAAAAUCAUAAUUAGAGAAUUUGAUUUGUGUGGGGCAUCUUACAGAUUAGUCUCUUCCUAGAGUAAUUCUUCAAAUCAAAGUGGUAAAAACCACCAACCCGAGAACCUUUUUGAAGUUGUGCUAUUUAUUCUAUUUAUUUUCUGGAGGCAAAUGGCUGGGAGGAGCUAGUCUAGGAGGAUAAAUAUCUAGUCUUUAUUUCCUGGACAAUGGCAAUAAAUCAUAUGAUAAGAAGGUCAGCAAUUAAUUUUAACUAUGCAACUAUUCUUCAUUCAACUAGUCAUGAGAAAUUGUUGAUCAGGACAGUGUUACUGAAUACCUAUUAAAUAACAGUCCAAUGAUCACCUGGAUGAAGUUACUGAGGAUGUGAGCCCAUUUGGAUCUUUGAUUGCAUCUUCCUUCCCAUUCCUAUGCAUCCCUCACUUAGAAUGAAUUGGUUGUCUCAGUGUUAGAAGAUGUAGUCACUUUUCUGCACUGGGUUUAAUAAAAAAGGGAUCCCUUCAA